Non-coding RNA from Arachis ipaensis, 2433 nucleotides. The record is from RefSeq and is a predicted model, not a curated record. Lineage: Eukaryota; Viridiplantae; Streptophyta; Magnoliopsida; Fabales; Fabaceae.
UGCACAAGAGCCGAUCAAUCGUUUCUGGAAUCAGACUACUAUAACGAAAUCUACAUUUCUUUGGUCCUGGUUCUAACCAACAAGCCGGCCCAAACCUCAAAGAAGGUGGAUUGGUUUCCGUAUCCGUGCAACCGUUCUUGCUCGUGGCCCUAAUCUGCUCCGACAGCCCCACCCCAGUCUCUCACUGUCAAACAUAUUUCUUUCUCUAGCAUCACUCCUAUCUUUUCACUGCGGCUGCUGCUAUGUCUUUUCUCUCUCGCCGCCUUUGAAAAAUAAAGAUUGGUAACUGCAUGAGAAAAGACUGGCCAAAUGAAAUAGUAAGACGUAUUUAAAGUUGACUCCGUGGACAGACCCUAAGUUUAAGUCGCAUAUAUAUCACCAACAACUUGGGGAGAGAGAGUUUGAUAAUGAGACGAAUGAGGGCUUCUCACACAAAGAGGGAGAGCGCAGGAAGAUGGACAGAGGAGACUGGGGAGACAGAGGAAAGGUGGCUCCAUGAAGACUUGCCACCACCAUGGUUCGUUCAUUUAGAUCUUUUAGCGACUCACCAACGAUAGUAGACAGCAACCUCAUGUCCGGUGGCGGCUCAGAUGAAGUAGCCAUUGGUGAAGCUGUGCCCCCUUCACUUCCCUUCUCUUUGCUCCUAUUCUCUCUUUCCACUAUCUUUUCAGUUUUCUUCUUUCUUCUUUCUUCUUGUUUUUAAGAUGAUGUGAUAUUGUGCAAGUCACACAGAAUUGAUUUUCAAUUCUCUCACAUUGUAUUUAUUUUCUGUAAUGUUUGUGAAUUGAAACGUUGUAGAGACGACUUUGUGUAUACCCAAUAUAUGUUGUGACUGUGUAAAUGACAAUGGAGUGUUUUGUGUGAUAAUUGUGAUGGUUGGGUAAAUGGAAGUGUGUAAAUGACAAUGAAGUGUUUGCAUGUGAUAAUGGUGAUGCUUGGGUACAUGUAAAAUAUUUGAUGUAGAAAAAAUAGUUAACAAUAAAGAACGAGUGAAUUGGAUUCUUUUCCUCAAAAGAAUGUUUUGCUCUUCUGUUGAGUGAUCACUGUUUUUUAUAGGUAAAGUUUGCAUCAAUGAUGCACAUGUAGGAGAGAAGAUUUUCAACUAUAGAUUGUCCAAAUUUCAAACACACUUCUUAAUUAUUUGAAUUUACAUUUAUUCUCUUUUAAUUAAUAGGUGCUUUAAUUAACUUUUGAAAUUUCCAUAUGUCACCAGCACGUGGUAAGACUUUGGAGACUUUCACCUUUUAUCACAUUUGGUGAUUUUUUAAUGCCAAUAUUUGAAGCACAUGUAGACAAAUGAGACCAAUUCCUAUCGCUUUAAGAAAGCAAACAAAAGCAUUAGGAAGAAGGCUAUCGUGACAUAUGGAGCUAUAUGCUGAAUUUAAAGGAAAAUAAAAAUGAUAAAAAAAGAAAAAGAAAAGUGAAACUAGAUAGACCAAACAAUGGGAACUUUUGGGCCAGAUACUAUUAGUUUUCUAAUCCAACUCUGCUUCCACUUGUUCUUUGUCUCACCCCACCGGAGAUCUCAUCACAAUUCCAUCUCUCAGCCUUGAGCAAUUGAGCCUUCAGGCUUUCACCAUUGCUGUUGUCGUUAGUUCUGCAGGACUGCAGUCGUGUAUGCGUCAAGCUCAUUAGGUACAGGCAUCUUGGAAUGGCUCAUUAGGUACAGGCAAUUGGUGCUUGCUUUCACUUUGGAUGGCUUGAAUUUGCUCAUGACAUUUUGGAUCAUGCAGAGGCUACUGGAUAUCCAAUGGACUGGGAUACAUAUAUGUUACUCUUGUCAGCAUAUUGUAGGCGCAGAAUGCAAAGAAUAGCAAAUGCACUACUAAAACAAAUGACAAGGGUUCAUUUGGAUAAUGAAUUGGCUAAUGAUACUAUCGACAAACACUUUCACUGUUUGGAAACAUCAGAUUCACUUGGUAAAUCGAAUUUGGUCGUCACCUUGGUUCAAAUAUUGAAGGAUGAAGAUCAAAUUUUUCCUUUGGUGUAUGAGUUUAAUUCUUCCAUCCACUUCUUUUGCAUGGCGAGAAUGAUGGAAGAUGCACUAAAGGUGUAUAGAAGGAUGGUUGAAAUGAACAUUCAGCCCACUAUUAAUACUUUUGCUUAUCUGCUAUGUGGAUAUUCAUCUCUUGGUAUGUAUUGCAAGAUCACAAUCUUGUGGGGGGAGAUUAAGAGAUUCAUGAAGGGUUGUGGUUUUCCGGCAAAUAGAGAUCUAUACGAGUUACUACGAAUAAACUUUUUUCGCGAUGGAUACUAAGACAUGGCUGAGGCCAAUGGUGGGUGGAAGCUCUUAAUUUUAUGUGCGUGAUAGGCGUUAUGAUAAGUGUUAUGAUAUUGUAAUUUCUAAGAUUGAGUACGGUCUAAUCCACCGUGACAAAAGAAGCUUAGGAUUCUGGUUAGCAUAUAAAGACCACUAAAAAAUUUUCAUUGGUA